GAUGAACGCUGACAGAAUGCUUAACACAUGCAAGUCUACCAAGAAUCACUUCGGUGAGGAAUGGUGGCGGACGGGUGAGUAACGCGUAAAUAAUCUGCCCUUUAGACUGGGAUAUCCUUUGGAAACGAAGGUUAAUACCGGAUAUUAUGAGAUGGACGCAUGUUCAACUUAUGAAAGCUAAAUGCGCUAGAGGAGGAGUUUGCGUCCCAUUAGCUAGUUGGUGAGGUAAAGGCUCACCAAGGCCACGAUGGGUAGCCGGCCUGAGAGGGUGAACGGCCACAAGGGAACUGAGACACGGACCUUACUCCUACGGGAGGCAGCAGUGGGGAAUAUUGGACAAUGGACCAAAAGUCUGAUCCAGAAAUUCUGUGUGCACGAUGAAGGUCUUCGGAUUGUAAAGUGCUUUCAGUAGGGAAGAAAAAAAUGACGGUACCUACAGAAGAAGCGACGGCUAAAUAUGUGCCAGCCGCCGCCGUAA
RNAcentral lists this ribosomal RNA (478 nucleotides) under uncultured bacterium. RNAcentral describes it as "partial 16S ribosomal RNA". It matches the Rfam family "Bacterial small subunit ribosomal RNA", at positions 28 to 523 of the family's 1533-position model. The record is from RNAcentral.